GAGGAAGGUAAGGUGUAGUUAAUUAGAUCGCAUUAUUUGACGUUAGCGACAGAAGAAAGCACCGGCUAACUCCGUGCCAGCAGCCGCGGUAAUACGGAGGGUGCGAGCGUUAAUCGGAAUUACUGGGCGUAAAGCGCAUGCAGGUGGUUUGUUAAGUCAGAUGUGAAAGACCCGGGGCUCAACCUCGGAAUAGCAUUUGAAACUAGGCAGACUAGAGUACUGUAGACGGGGGGUAGGAAUUUCAGGUGUAGCGGUGAAAUGCGUAGAGAUCUGAAGGAAUACCGGUGGCGAAGGCGGCCCCCUCGGACAGAUACUGACACUCAGAUGCGAAAGCGUGGGGAGCAAACAGGAUUAGAUACCCUGGUAG
Molecule: ribosomal RNA, 367 nt
Filed under: uncultured bacterium
Lineage: Bacteria
Description: bacterial SSU rRNA
Rfam family: Bacterial small subunit ribosomal RNA
Source: RNAcentral